RNAcentral lists this ribosomal RNA (379 nucleotides) under uncultured eukaryote. RNAcentral describes it as "partial 18S ribosomal RNA". It matches the Rfam family "Eukaryotic small subunit ribosomal RNA", at positions 592 to 976 of the family's 1831-position model. The record is from RNAcentral.
CAAUAGCGUAUAUUAAAGUUGUUGCGGUUAAAAAGUUCGUAGUUGGAUUUCUGUGAAGGAUAACCGGUCCGCUCUAUGAGCGUGUAUCUGUUUGUCCUUUGCAUCCUCGCGGAAUACGUCUCUGUGCUUCACUGCAUGGGGCGGGCUUCGCGACUUUUACUUUGAGGAAAUUAGAGUGUUCACGGCAGGCUCACGCCAUGAAUAUAUUAGCAUGGAAUAAUAAUAUAGGACCUUGGUUCUAUUUUGUUGGUUUCUAGGGCUAAGGUAAUGAUUAAUAGGGACAAUUGGGGGCAUUCGUAUUAACGCGUCAGAGGUGGAAUUCUUGGAUUGCGUUACGACGAACUACUGCGAAAGCAUUUGCCAAGGAUGUUUUCAUUGA